UGCGGCUGGAUCCCCUCCUUUCUGGAAAAUGCACGCAAAUUCUUGCGCCCACCCUUAUCGGCUGUCGUUGACGACAGACUGCCCUUCAGAGAGGGAUUAGGUGCGCGGGUCUGUAGCUCAGUCAGUUAGAGCACCGUCUUGAUAAGGCGGGGGUCGUUGGUUCGAAUCCAACCAGACCCACCAACGCCCCAUGCAAGAGAUCAGGGGGUGUAGCUCAGCUGGGAGAGCACCUGCUUUGCAAGCAGGGGGUCAUCGGUUCGAUCCCGUUCACCUCCACCAAGAAUACGAGUAACACGUCGAAGCGGCGAGCGCACGUGGUGUGCUGGCCGGUUCGAUCGUUUAGAUCGGCUGUCGUUCUUUAACAAUUCAUAGAGUCGAAAUCAGCGUCGUCGGCGGAAAGCCGUGGUGACACGGCACCGUGCCGCCGGCGACAUUUGAUUGCGUCACCAGAACUUCACUUCAUGCAAGUGAAGAACGGCAUAACGCAGAUACCAGUCAUUGACCGGGGCCCGAGAUAGUCGCGGGCGUCAGAGUUAUAGGGUCAAGUGACUAAGUGCAUGUGGUGGAUGCCUUGGCGAUUACAGGCGAUGAAGGACGUUGUAGCCUGCGAUAAGCUUCGGGGAGUCGGCAAACAGACUUUGAUCCGGAGAUUUCCGAAUGGGGAAACCCG
RNAcentral lists this unclassified non-coding RNA (670 nucleotides) under uncultured bacterium. RNAcentral describes it as "partial contains 16S ribosomal RNA, 16S-23S ribosomal RNA intergenic spacer, and 23S ribosomal RNA". The stretch from base 540 to 670 matches the Rfam family "Bacterial large subunit ribosomal RNA", at positions 1 to 130 of the family's 2925-position model. The record is from RNAcentral.